This 137-nucleotide small nucleolar RNA is filed under the name Eurypyga helias (sunbittern). The record is from RNAcentral. Lineage: Eukaryota; Metazoa; Chordata; Aves; Eurypygiformes; Eurypygidae.
CUUCCGUGAGGAUGAGAUGACGAGUCUGAAAGGGAACAUCCCUGUCCAAGUGCCCUCCUUCAUGUUGUGUCCUAUAGCAUGGAUCUGGGGACCUUGGGUCAUCAUUUGAGUGACGUAGAGGCAUUUGUCUGAGAAGG